UUGUUUUGUAAUUCUUGUGUCUAAGAGCUUGUGUCACUGAUCAAGAUGAGUGAUCCCAAGUAUGCUUACCCAUACCCUGCUCAAGGUUAUUAUCAAGGCCCACCUGUAAUGGCACCACCACAAUAUGCUGCUCCACCACCAAGACGAGAACCUAGUUUUCUUGAAGGAUCCCUUGCUGCUUUAUGUUGUUGCUGUCUCAUUGAUGAAUGUUGCUGUGAUCCUUCCAUCAUUUUUAUCAGCUAAUUAGUGAUCUUGGUCAUUGUACCGUCUAGUUGAAGUGUUGGUGAAUUGACUAAGAACCAUUUUCAGUUUUUUGUCUUGUUUUCUUGUAUUGUGAAUUUGUGAUAGGGGACUAGGGGUUUAUACUAAGUCUUAAAGAGUUGCUCCUUCAAGAUCUUUGGGUUGUAUUUUUAUGUAGUUUCUGAAGUAAAGGCAUGUUUUGAAAAUGGAAAUGAGAGCAUUUCAAGUUGAAAA
This is a long non-coding RNA of Papaver somniferum (opium poppy), 474 nucleotides long. RefSeq lists it as uncharacterized. The record is from RefSeq and is a predicted model, not a curated record. Lineage: Eukaryota; Viridiplantae; Streptophyta; Magnoliopsida; Ranunculales; Papaveraceae. The transcript has 2 exons.